This 484-nucleotide ribosomal RNA is filed under the name uncultured bacterium. RNAcentral describes it as "partial 16S ribosomal RNA". It matches the Rfam family "Bacterial small subunit ribosomal RNA", at positions 30 to 507 of the family's 1533-position model. The record is from RNAcentral.
AUUGAACGCUGGCGGCAGGCCUAACACAUGCAAGUCGAGCGGAUGAAGGGAGUUUGCUCCUGGAUUCAGCGGCGGACGGGUGAGUAAUGCCUAGGAAUCUGCCUGGCAGUGGGGGAUAACGUCCGGAAACGGGCGCUAAUACCGCAUACGUCCUGAGGGAGAAAGUGGGGGAUCUUCGGACCUCACGCUAUCAGAUGAGCCUAGGUCGGAUUAGCUAGUUGGUGGGGUAAAGGCCUACCAAGGCGACGAUCCGUAACUGGUCUGAGAGGAUGAUCAGUCACACUGGAACUGAGACACGGUCCAGACUCCUACGGGAGGCAGCAGUGGGGAAUAUUGGACAAUGGGCGAAAGCCUGAUCCAGCCAUGCCGCGUGUGUGAAGAAGGUCUUCGGAUUGUAAAGCACUUUAAGUUGGGAGGAAGGGCAGUAAGUUAAUACCUUGCUGUUUUGACGUUACCAACAGAAUAAGCACCGGCUAACUUCGUG